CUGCACGUGUACCUUAUCUUAAUGAUUAAUAAGUUUUUAAAAGUUAUAUUCUAUUCUAUACUUUAUAAGAGCAAAAUUUUCGAUAUGUCUGCUUAUUGUCUUUUUAAAAAAGUUUGAGGAUAAUUCAGUCAUUUAGCAUAUCUUUAUAGGUGGUGUUUUUUCGCUUCACAAAUACUAAGUGUAUCUUUUUUGAUCAUUUUUUCCAUGGAUUCCAGAGCAUUGUUCUCACUCUUUCCCUAUUGUAGCCUCUGGAAUCACAUGAGUUUCCUUCGUUUGUCACUCGCUUUUCCGUCGUUUGUCACUUUGAAAGCUUAACCCAAAGUACGAACAGACUGUUGCAAUUCAGUCUUAUUUUCCCUUUCCGUCGUCUCUCUGUGUGCUCUGUUGCUUCUUGGCCACAAGCCCACCUUCAUCCUUCGAAAUCUCUUUGUUUGUGUAAGAGUUAGGCUUCAAGGCAAAGCUUCUGUUCGCUGCCAGUCACGCAAGAAAGGAGGAGAAAAAUUGUACGUGAUUUUUGAGACAAAUUUACUCGCUACCAACUCAUGUUACAAAGGAAUCGUCGUAAUCUUUGCUUGGGAUUAAAUUAAGGUAACUUAAUUAAAGAACCAGGUUAAUCUUUAGUUCUUUUUGUGGAUAAUUUUGUUUCUCUAACUGUAAUAUAAGAAUUUUGUCUAUGCGAUUAUCCUUCAUUUUGUGUGUUAUAAAGUCCAAUUUAGUGCGACGUUUGUGUUUUAUUUACACUUUAGUUGGAUCUGUUUUAAGAAGUUCAAUGCAGAGAAAAUAUCAUCAUCCCAGGCGAUAUAAAUAUGACCUCUGUAUAACAAUGGGGAGAAGGUUGAAUCAAAUAGAACAUUGGUACUAAACGAAGAUGAUAUCGCACGUUUUGAUUUCGUGGUUGGGGGAGCUUGUGCCAGUUAAAAUAGUAAUAGUUCUUGAAUGGAAGAAAUCUCACAUCGGUGAAAUAUCAAUUUUGGUUGGUACUUCACCCUAUAAAACGAGGCCUAAUGUUUAGGAUUUAAACACACCUCUCAUUUGCCUUCUUAUCUUCUUAAGGCAUUUGUAUCUUCUCUCUUUAGUAUUAUUUCACUUGUAUUUUUGGAGUGAAAUAAAAUAUUGAUUGUGUCCGAGGAGUAGGCAAAAUUAGCUGAACCUCGUAAAUUCUGGUGUUCCUUUUAUUGUUGUUUUAUUGUCUUAUUUAUUAUUUGGUGGCUGUCAUAAUUUUUGGUAUAGUAGUUGUGACUUAUUCACACUAUAAGAGAUAAAGAAAAUUCUUGGCAUGGAGAUAAUAAGAGAUAGACGUAAACUCUGUUUAUUGCAGAAAGAAUACUUGAAAAGAGUACUACAACGUUUUGGCUAGUACUCCACUUGCUCCCCAUUUUAAGCUAAGUAAUACUAUGUCGCCA
Molecule: long non-coding RNA, 1403 nt
Filed under: Nicotiana tabacum (common tobacco)
Lineage: Eukaryota; Viridiplantae; Streptophyta; Magnoliopsida; Solanales; Solanaceae
Description: long non-coding RNA (NTAB_LNC011504)
Source: RNAcentral